GCAAGUUGAAUGCUAGUUUACUAGCAUGGCAAACGGGAGAGUAACACAUUGGCAAUCUACCCCUAAGACGAGGAUAACCUUGCGAAAGCGAGAAUAAUACUCGAUAGUAUUAAAGAACAUAAGUUCUUUAAUUAAAGCUCCGGCGCUUAGGGAGGAGCCUAUGGCCUAUCAGCUUGUUGGUGAGAUAAUAGCUCACCAAGGCUACGACGGGUAUGGGGUGCGAGAGCAUGACC
RNAcentral lists this ribosomal RNA (233 nucleotides) under uncultured bacterium. RNAcentral's name for it is "partial 16S ribosomal RNA". It matches the Rfam family "Bacterial small subunit ribosomal RNA", at positions 57 to 305 of the family's 1533-position model. The record is from RNAcentral.